Polyodon spathula (Mississippi paddlefish) is the source of this 336-nucleotide long non-coding RNA. RefSeq lists it as uncharacterized. The record is from RefSeq and is a predicted model, not a curated record. The transcript is spliced from 3 exons. Lineage: Eukaryota; Metazoa; Chordata; Actinopteri; Acipenseriformes; Polyodontidae.
GGAAGUUCCGUUGGUUGAGCUGCUUGGAGAAAAAGACACGAGAAAACAGAAGAGAAAGAAGAUAGAGAGAAAGAAAGAAAGAGAAAGAAAGAGAAAGAGAGCGUCACAGCAGCAGACAGACACCUGCUAUCUUGCGAACUAUUACUGUGAGACUGGAUAUGAGGGCAACUGCAUGCUGAAUUCCCAGCAAAAAAGCUGCUGUUUCAUCUGCAAGUCUGGGACUUCCUUAUCCAGGUGAAAGCCAAGGAACAAAGAUGCAGUCUGUUUACAUUAAACAGGAGGAGGAUCUAGAACUGGAGCCUGUCCACAUUAAAAAAGAGGAGACUGAACUUGAGC